UUAGGAAAAGCUUCAGAUCGAGGUUAUGACGAUAUCGAGAAAGAGGACACUUACAACGUAAUUCAUACUUUGGCGCCAUCUAAUCAGUGUAAAACUGAGCUAUGUAACAAUUAUGAUUGAUAUGAAGAUGACGAUGACAUUUUUGCUUCCACAAGCACCCAAGAAAUCCUACAUCAAGAUGUGAAGGUGAAUAAUAAUUUUCCCCAUACGUCUAAGUUGCCAGUAAAUAAGCAGAUAACCCAGGGUAACCAAAGAGACAAUAUUAGUGGGUACUCCAAGAGCUUGGUGCUGAGAGAAACUAAUGUUGCAUUUCUUCAAAAAGCUAGCGGAGAACGAACGAAGUUGGGAGAAGAUAAAAACGCAGUUAAGGUGAGUGUAAUUUCUAUCGAAAACGAAUCGGAAGAAGUGAAAAGUAAAGUGAAUCGAGAUGAAGGGGGCAAGAUGAAUAAUCCGGAAAGUUCGCUUGUUUCUGCUGGUUUUCAAACAGCGAAUGGCAAAAAAAUAUCC
Glossina fuscipes is the source of this 507-nucleotide long non-coding RNA. RefSeq lists it as uncharacterized. Lineage: Eukaryota; Metazoa; Arthropoda; Insecta; Diptera; Glossinidae. The record is from RefSeq and is a predicted model, not a curated record. The transcript is spliced from 3 exons.